This 465-nucleotide ribosomal RNA is filed under the name uncultured bacterium. Its description in RNAcentral is "bacterial SSU rRNA". It matches the Rfam family "Bacterial small subunit ribosomal RNA", at positions 338 to 795 of the family's 1533-position model. The record is from RNAcentral.
CCUACGGGGGGCACCAGUGGGGAAUAUUGGACAAUGGGCGCAAGCCUGAUCCAGCCAUACCGCGUGGGUGAAGAAGGCCUUCGGGUUGUAAAGCCCUUUUGUUGGGAGAGAAAUCCAGCUGGUUAAUACCCGGUUGGGAUGACGGUACCCAAAGAAUAAGCACCGGCUAACUUCGUGCCAGCAGCCGCGGUAAUACGAAGGGUGCAAGCGUUACUCGGAAUUACUGGGCGUAAAGCGUGCGUAGGUGGUCGUUUAAGUCCGUUGUGAAAGCCCUGGGCUCGACCUGGGAACUGCAGUGGAUACUGGGCGACUAGAGUGUGGUAGAGGGUAGCGGAAUUCCUGGUGUAGCAGUGAAAUGCGUAGAGAUCAGGAGGAACAUCCAUGGCGAAGGCAGCUACCUGGACCAGCACUGACACUGAGGCACGAAAGCGUGGGGAGCAAACAGGAUUAGAUACCCUCGUAGUC